This 116-nucleotide small nuclear RNA is filed under the name Mola mola (ocean sunfish). RNAcentral's name for it is "U5 spliceosomal RNA (ENSMMOG00000020789.1)". It matches the Rfam family "U5 spliceosomal RNA". Rfam says of the family: U5 RNA is a component of both types of known spliceosome. The precise function of this molecule is unknown, though it is known that the 5' loop is required for splice site selection and p220 binding, and that both the 3' stem-loop and the Sm site are important for Sm protein binding and cap methylation. The record is from Rfam by way of RNAcentral. Lineage: Eukaryota; Metazoa; Chordata; Actinopteri; Tetraodontiformes; Molidae.
UGACUCUGAUUCCUCUUCAGAUCGAACAAAUCUUUCGCCUUUUACUAAAGAUUUCCGUGGAGAGGCUUCACAAGAGUUUAACUCAAUUUUUGUGUUGCCCUGCUAAUGGUAGGGCU